RNAcentral lists this ribosomal RNA (253 nucleotides) under uncultured bacterium. RNAcentral's name for it is "partial 16S ribosomal RNA". It matches the Rfam family "Bacterial small subunit ribosomal RNA", at positions 524 to 776 of the family's 1533-position model. The record is from RNAcentral.
UACGUAGGGUGCAAGCGUUAAUCGGAAUUACUGGGCGUAAAGCGUGCGCAGGCGGUUUCGCAAGUCAGAUGUGAAAUCCCCGGGCUUAACCUGGGAACUGCAUUUGAAACUACGUGGCUAGAGUGUGUCAGAGGGGGGUAGAAUUCCACGUGUAGCAGUGAAAUGCGUAGAGAUGUGGAGGAAUACCGAUGGCGAAGGCAGCCAUCUGGGUCGACACUGACGCUCAUGCACGAAAGCGUGGGUAGCAAACAGG